UACGGGGGGGGCAAGCGUUGUUCGGAAUUACUGGGCGUAAAGGGCUCGUAGGCGGCCAACUAAGUCAGACGUGAAAUCCCUCGGCUUAACCGGGGAACUGCGUCUGAUACUGGAUGGCUUGAGUUUGGGAGAGGGAUGCGGAAUUCCAGGUGUAGCGGUGAAAUGCGUAGAUAUCAGGAGGAACACCUGUGGUGUAGACGGCUUACUGGACCAUGACUGACGCUGAGGCACGAAAGCGUGGGGAGCAAACAGGA
Molecule: ribosomal RNA, 254 nt
Filed under: uncultured bacterium
Lineage: Bacteria
Description: partial 16S ribosomal RNA
Rfam family: Bacterial small subunit ribosomal RNA
Source: RNAcentral